RNAcentral lists this ribosomal RNA (409 nucleotides) under uncultured Salinicoccus sp. RNAcentral describes it as "partial 16S ribosomal RNA". It matches the Rfam family "Bacterial small subunit ribosomal RNA", at positions 1037 to 1409 of the family's 1533-position model. The record is from RNAcentral. Lineage: Bacteria; Bacillati; Bacillota; Bacilli; Caryophanales; Staphylococcaceae.
GGUGNUGCAUGGNUGUCGUCAGCUCGUGUCGUGAGAUGUUGGGUUAAGUCCCGCAACGAGCGCAACCCUUGAUCAUUAGUUGCCUAGCAUUCAGUUGAGGCACUCUAAUGGUAGACUGCCGGUGACAAACCGGAGGAAGGUGGGGAUGACGUCAAAGUCACUCAUGGCCCCUUAUGNNNNGGGCUUUACACACGUGCAUACAAUGGUAUCGGAUACAGAAGGAGCCCGCCAAACCCGCGAGGGUGGAAGCUAAUCUCCAUGAAAGUCCGUAUUCUNUAGUUCCGGAUUCGCAGGUCUGGCAACUCGACCUGCAGUGAAGCCUUGGAAUCGCUAGUAAUCGCGGAUCAGCAUGUCCGCGGUGAAUACGUUCCCGGGUCCUNGUACCACACCCGCCCGUCACACCCANGNG